This 253-nucleotide ribosomal RNA is filed under the name uncultured bacterium. RNAcentral's name for it is "partial 16S ribosomal RNA". It matches the Rfam family "Bacterial small subunit ribosomal RNA", at positions 524 to 776 of the family's 1533-position model. The record is from RNAcentral.
UACGGAGGGUGCAAGCGUUGUUCGGAAUUAUUGGGCGUAAAGAACGUGUAGGCGGGUCUGUGUGUCAGAUGUGAAAGCCCUCGGCUCAACCGAGGAAGUGCAUCUGAAACUGCAAAUCUUGAGUACGAGAGAGGAGAGUGGAAUUCCCAGUGUAGAGGUGAAAUUCAUAGAUAUUGGGAAGAACACCGGCGGCGAAAGCGGCUCUCUGGCUCGAUACUGACGCUGAGACGUGAAAGCGUGGGGAGCAAACAGG